CCUAUAUUAACUUAGCAAACUCUUGACAAAGAAAUUUAUUAGUAGCACGGAAUAUGAUAUUAUCUAUAUAAAUUUGUACUACUAACAAAUCAUCAUUUUUUUUUCAAAAAUAAGAUUUUAUUAACAUGUUCUCUAGUAAAUUCAUUAUCAAAUAGAAAUUUGCUUAAUUUUUCAUAUCAUACAUGAGGGGCCUAUUUUAAACCAUAUACUGUCUUGUGUAAUUUAUAAACAUGAUCGAAAAAAAUGUG
Molecule: long non-coding RNA, 248 nt
Filed under: Elaeis guineensis (African oil palm)
Lineage: Eukaryota; Viridiplantae; Streptophyta; Magnoliopsida; Arecales; Arecaceae
Description: long non-coding RNA (EGUI_LNC018708)
Source: RNAcentral